RNAcentral lists this ribosomal RNA (484 nucleotides) under uncultured bacterium. RNAcentral's name for it is "partial 16S ribosomal RNA". It matches the Rfam family "Bacterial small subunit ribosomal RNA", at positions 28 to 523 of the family's 1533-position model. The record is from RNAcentral.
GACGAACGCUGGCGGCGUGCUUAACACAUGCAAGUCGAACGAUGAAGCCGGAGCUUGCUCUGGUGAAUUAGUGGCGAACGGGUGAGUAACACGUGAGUAACCUGCCCUUGACUCUGGGAUAACUGCGGGAAACUGUAGCUAAUACCGGAUACGACCCUCGGAGGCAUCUCCUGGGGGUGGAAAGAAUUUCGGUCAAGGAUGGACUCGCGGCCUAUCAGCUAGUUGGUGAGGUAAAGGCUCACCAAGGCGACGACGGGGAGCCGGCCUGAGAGGGUGACCGGCCACACGGGGACUGAGACACGGCCCAGACUCCUACGGGAGGCAGCAGUGGGGAAUAUUGCACAAUGGGCGCAAGCUUGAUGCAGCAACGCCGCGUGAGGGAUGACGGCCUUCGGGUUGUAAACCUCUUUUAGCAGGGAAGAAGCGAAAGUGACGGUACCUGCAGAAAAAGCACCGGCUAACUACGUGCCAGCCGCCGCCGUAA